AACGCAUAUUGCACUCUCUGGUAUUCCGGAGAGUAUGCUUGUUUGAGUAUCAGUAAAAACCCUCACAUCUUUUCAUUUUGAAAAGAAGUGGAAUUUGAGCGAUCCCAACGUCUCCAAGAUGGCGGGCCGCUUCAAAUGCAGGUACAGCUAGGAUCGAAUCCUGGGCUAUUUAGCAUAUCCAUUUAAUCUCGUAAAACAGAUUAUAUACUUUGCUUACAGCCAAUUCUAAAGGGAAUCAUCCAAUCAAGCUGACUGAUGCAGUAUUUUCAGAGUCGCAAGGCUUUGUUAAAACUCGAUCUCAAAUCAAGUAAGACUACCCGCUGAACUUAA
This 330-nucleotide unclassified non-coding RNA is filed under the name uncultured fungus. RNAcentral describes it as "sequence contains ITS2". The record is from RNAcentral. Lineage: Eukaryota; Fungi.